GCAGUAGCCGCGGUAAUACAGAGGGUGCAAGCGUUAAUCGGAAUUACUGGGCGUAAAGCGUGCGUAGGUGGUGGUUUAAGUCCGUUGUGAAAGCCCUGGGCUCAACCUGGGAAUUGCAGUGGAUACUGGGUCACUAGAGUGUGGUAGAGGAUAGUGGAAUUUCCGGUGUAGCAGUGAAAUGCGUAGAGAUCGGAAGGAACAUCUGUGGCGAAGGCGACUAUCUGGGCCAACACUGACACUGAGGCACGAAAGCGUGGGGAGCAAACAGGAUUAGAUACCCCUGUAGUCCCUGUCUCUUAUAC
This 302-nucleotide ribosomal RNA is filed under the name uncultured bacterium. Its description in RNAcentral is "partial 16S ribosomal RNA". It matches the Rfam family "Bacterial small subunit ribosomal RNA", at positions 508 to 807 of the family's 1533-position model. The record is from RNAcentral.